GGUGGUGAAAUGGUAGACACGCGAGACUCAAAAUAUCGUGCUAAAGAAAAGAGCGUGGAGGUUCAAGUCCUCUUCAAGGCA
This 81-nucleotide transfer RNA is filed under the name Conopholis americana. RNAcentral describes it as "tRNA-Leu". It matches the Rfam family "tRNA". Rfam says of the family: Transfer RNA (tRNA) molecules are approximately 80 nucleotides in length. Their secondary structure includes four short double-helical elements and three loops (D, anti-codon, and T loops). The record is from RNAcentral. Lineage: Eukaryota; Viridiplantae; Streptophyta; Magnoliopsida; Lamiales; Orobanchaceae.